AACGCACAUUGCGCCCCUUGGUAUUCCGAGGGGCAUGCCUGUUCGAGCGUCAUUAACAACCCUCAAGCACUGCUUGGUAUUGGGCUCCGCUGGUUUUCAGUGGGCCUUAAAAUCAGUGGCGGCGCCGUCUGAGCUCUGAGCGUAGUAAAUAUCCUCGCUAUAGAGACCAGGUGGUCCCUUGCCAUCAACCCCCAACUUUCUAAGUUUGACCUCGGAUCAGGUAGGGAUACCCGCUGAACUUAA
Molecule: unclassified non-coding RNA, 243 nt
Filed under: uncultured fungus
Lineage: Eukaryota; Fungi
Description: sequence contains ITS2
Rfam family: 5.8S ribosomal RNA (bases 1-52)
Source: RNAcentral